This 1537-nucleotide ribosomal RNA is filed under the name Staphylococcus aureus subsp. aureus CIG1605. RNAcentral describes it as "16S ribosomal RNA". It matches the Rfam family "Bacterial small subunit ribosomal RNA". The record is from RNAcentral. Lineage: Bacteria; Bacillati; Bacillota; Bacilli; Caryophanales; Staphylococcaceae.
GAGUUUGAUCCUGGCUCAGGAUGAACGCUGGCGGCGUGCCUAAUACAUGCAAGUCGAGCGAACGGACGAGAAGCUUGCUUCUCUGAUGUUAGCGGCGGACGGGUGAGUAACACGUGGAUAACCUACCUAUAAGACUGGGAUAACUUCGGGAAACCGGAGCUAAUACCGGAUAAUAUUUUGAACCGCAUGGUUCAAAAGUGAAAGACGGUCUUGCUGUCACUUAUAGAUGGAUCCGCGCUGCAUUAGCUAGUUGGUAAGGUAACGGCUUACCAAGGCAACGAUGCAUAGCCGACCUGAGAGGGUGAUCGGCCACACUGGAACUGAGACACGGUCCAGACUCCUACGGGAGGCAGCAGUAGGGAAUCUUCCGCAAUGGGCGAAAGCCUGACGGAGCAACGCCGCGUGAGUGAUGAAGGUCUUCGGAUCGUAAAACUCUGUUAUUAGGGAAGAACAUAUGUGUAAGUAACUGUGCACAUCUUGACGGUACCUAAUCAGAAAGCCACGGCUAACUACGUGCCAGCAGCCGCGGUAAUACGUAGGUGGCAAGCGUUAUCCGGAAUUAUUGGGCGUAAAGCGCGCGUAGGCGGUUUUUUAAGUCUGAUGUGAAAGCCCACGGCUCAACCGUGGAGGGUCAUUGGAAACUGGAAAACUUGAGUGCAGAAGAGGAAAGUGGAAUUCCAUGUGUAGCGGUGAAAUGCGCAGAGAUAUGGAGGAACACCAGUGGCGAAGGCGACUUUCUGGUCUGUAACUGACGCUGAUGUGCGAAAGCUGGGGAUCAAACAGGAUUAGAUACCCUGGUAGUCCACGCCGUAAACGAUGAGUGCUAAGUGUUAGGGGGUUUCCGCCCCUUAGUGCUGCAGCUAACGCAUUAAGCACUCCGCCUGGGGAGUACGACCGCAAGGUUGAAACUCAAAGGAAUUGACGGGGACCCGCACAAGCGGUGGAGCAUGUGGUUUAAUUCGAAGCAACGCGAAGAACCUUACCAAAUCUUGACAUCCUUUGACAACUCUAGAGAUAGAGCCUUCCCCUUCGGGGGACAAAGUGACAGGUGGUGCAUGGUUGUCGUCAGCUCGUGUCGUGAGAUGUUGGGUUAAGUCCCGCAACGAGCGCAACCCUUAAGCUUAGUUGCCAUCAUUAAGUUGGGCACUCUAAGUUGACUGCCGGUGACAAACCGGAGGAAGGUGGGGAUGACGUCAAAUCAUCAUGCCCCUUAUGAUUUGGGCUACACACGUGCUACAAUGGACAAUACAAAGGGCAGCGAAACCGCGAGGUCAAGCAAAUCCCAUAAAGUUGUUCUCAGUUCGGAUUGUAGUCUGCAACUCGACUACAUGAAGCUGGAAUCGCUAGUAAUCGUAGAUCAGCAUGCUACGGUGAAUACGUUCCCGGGUCUUGUACACACCGCCCGUCACACCACGAGAGUUUGUAACACCCGAAGCCGGUGGAGUAACCUUUUAGGAGCUAGCCGUCGAAGGUGGGACAAAUGAUUGGGGUGAAGUCGUAACAAGGUAGCCGUAUCGGAAGGUGCGGCUGGAUCACC